CUCAGCGCAGCUGUUUGGGAUGUAUUAAGGGGCAGAGGAGCGGUUGGUGCCAUUCAGCAGCUGGAAGUGCAACAGUGAAAGCCCGGAGUUGAAGAGAGAAAACGUACAGCCACAUUGGGAGGCACAUCAGGGAGAAACCCGUAGAAGCCAAAAAGACACGAAUCAGUGAGCACCGCAGCAAUAUACGGACAGGUGAGACAAGAAAUAUGGUUUCUGUUCAUUUUGUACUGGACAUCCUAUUAGUUCUCUGAGAUACGUUGCAAUAGAAAUGGUCAAGAUGUUAUGCAGGGGGAGGGGACAUUGAGAGGAAACUUCUUCAAAGCGAUUCUUUCUGGAUCCACAGGCUCAACAAACUGUCUCCUCUUGGCCUUAACAAGGAAUUUGACUUCAAACCGUUUUUAUAGUUUCAAUAUGUCCAAAUUGUUUUUUUGUUUUUAAAAAUCCUAAUUGAAUAUUUUAGGUAUGUUACUGUAAAUAUUGAUCACAUUCCUUGUGUAUGUAUCACGCCCUGCUCUGUUUCACCUGUCUUGUGCUUGUCUCCACCCCCCACCAGGUGUCUCCCAUUUGUCCCCAUUAUCCCCUGUGUAUUUAUACCUGUGUUUUCUGUUUGUCUUUUGCCAGUUCGUCUUGUCCCGUCAAGUAUUACCAGCGUGUUUUCCCGGUUUCGAGUCUUUCUAGUUAUUGUUUUCUAGUCUUCCCGGUUCUGACCAUUCUGCCUGCCUGCCGUUCUGUACCUCAUUGACUCUGCCCUGGACUACUGACCUCUGCCUGCCCUGACCCUGAGUCUGCUUACCAUUCUGUACCUCAUUGACUCUGCCCUGGACUACUGACCUCUGCCUGCCCUGACCCUGAGUCUGCUUACCAUUCUGUACCUCUUUGACUCUGCCCUGGAUUAUUGACCUCUGCCUGCCCUCGACCUGCCCUGCCCUGGCCUGGCCUGUCCCCUUGUAUAAUAAAUAUUAUGAGAACUGUACUCUCCGCCUCCUCCUCUGCAUCUGGGUCAUAUCCUGAGUCGUGAUAGUGUGAUCAUAUAUUUUGAUACAUCGAAUGUGUUAUACAUGAUUUUUUUUUUUUUUAACCUAAUGUUUCAGGAAGUGAUGUCACUGAGCACUGCCCCUAUAUAUAGGACCUUCUACACCCACUUGGGAUGUUGAUGCCUGAUGAGGACCUAAGGGUCGAAACGUAGUUAUAAAUAAAUAUCACCAGGGAGCAGCAGUGAGCAGCGUUUCCCUUUCUGUUUUUCAGGAGUUUGGCUACAACUCCAGCACCUUUGGAAAGUACCUGGAUGUGCAGAUGUUCUUCAGCUUUUUGACUUUAAAACAGUGAAAGAGUUUAAUGGCUGUGAUAGGAGAAAACAGAGGAUGGAUCAACAAUAUUGUUGUUACUAAACAAAAUGAACCUAAAUGACAGAGUGAAAAAAAGGAAGCCAAAUAUACACUGGAGUUGCUUAUCAAGACGAAAUUGGACGUUCUUGAGUGGCCUAGUUACAGUUUGGACUUAAAUCGUCUGGAAAAUCUAUGGCAAGACCUGAAAAUGUUUGUCUAGCAAUGAUCAACAACCGACUUGACAGAGCUUAAAGAAUAAAACAAAUAAUAAAUGUUGUACAAUCCAGGUGUGCAAAGCUCAUAAAGACUCAUAGCUGUAAUCACAGCUAAAGGUGAUUCUAACAUGUAUUGACUCAGGGGGUUGAAUACUAUAUUAGUGUUUUUUUAACUUUUCAUAUUUAUUUUACAAAUGUUAGAAACAUGACAAUUCAAUCAAUUGCAAUCCCACUUUGCAACACAACAAAAUGUUUAAAAAGGCGAGGGAUAUACCUGAAGGCACUGUAUACUGUAUGUCAAAAUACAAUGUUUCAGGAAAUGUGUUGUUCCAUUUUCACACAGACUAAUGUAUCAAUAUUGAGAUAUGAGGCAGGUAUGACACAUACCUUGAAUUACACAGUAGGCUAUGUACUGUAUAAAAACACAUAUACAGUAUAUGGGGGUUUACACAGUAGGCUAUGUACUGUAUAAAAACACAUAUACAGUAUAUGGGGGUUUACACAGUAGGCUAUGUACAUUUACAUUUACAUUUAAGUCAUUUAGCAGACGCUCUUAUCCAGAGCGACUUACAAAUUGGUGCAAACACCUAUGACAACCAGUGGAACAGCCACUUGCAUCUAAAUCUUGUUGGGGGGGGGUUAGUAUAAAAACACAUAUACAGUAUAUGGGGGUUUACACAGUAGGCUAUGUACUGUAUAAAAACACAUAUACAGUAUAUGGGGGUUUACACAGUAGGCUAUGUACUGUAUAAAAACACAUAUACAGUAUAUGGGGGUUUACACAGUAGGCUAUGUACUGUAUAAAAACACAUAUACAGUAAAUGGGGGUUUACACAGUAGGCUAUGUACUGUAUAAAAACACAUAUACAGUAUAUGGGGGUUUACACAGUAGGCUAUGUACUGUAUAAAAACACAUAUACAGUAUAUGGGGGUUUACACAGUAGGCUAUGUACUGUAUAAAAACACAUAUACAGUAAAUGGGGGUUUACACAGUAGGCUAUGUACUGUAUAACAACACAUAUACAGUAUAUGGGGGUUUACACAGUAGGCUAUGUACUGUAUAAAAACACAUAUACAGUAAAUGGGGGUUUACACAGUAGGCUAUGUACUGUAUAAAAACACAUAUACAGUAAAUGGGGGUUUACACAGUAGGCUAUGUACUGUAUAAAAACACAUAUACAGUAAAUGGGGGUUUACACAGUAGGCUAUGUACUGUAUAAAAACACAUAUACAGUAAAUGGGGGUUUACACAGUAGGCUAUGUACUGUAUAAAAACACAUAUACAGUAAAUGGGGGUUUACACAGUAGGCUAUGUACUGUAUAAAAACACAUAUACAGUAAAUGGGGGUUUACACAGUAGGCUAUGUACUGUAUAAAAACACAUAUACAGUAAAUGGGGGUUUACACAGUAGGCUAUGUACUGUAUAAAAACACAUAUACAGUAAAUGGGGGUUUACACAGUAGGCUAUGUACUAUAUAAAACACAUAUACAGUAAAUGGGGUUUACACAGUAGGCUAUGCACUAUAUAAAAACACAUAUACAGUAAAUGGGGGUUUACACAGUAGGCUAUGUACUGUAUAAAAACACAUACAGUAAAUGGGGGUUUACACAGUAGGCUAUUUACUGUAUAAAAACACAUAUACAGUAAAUGGGGGUUUACACAGUAGGCUAUGCACUAUAUAAAAACACAUAUACAGUAAAUGGGGGUUUACACAGUAGGCUAUGUACUGUAUAAAAACACAUAUACAGUAAAUGGGGGUUUACACAGUAGGCUAUGUACUGUAUAAAAACACAUAUACAGUAAAUGGGGGUUUACACAGUAGGCUAUGUACUGUAUAAAAACACAUAUACAGUAAAUGGGGGUUUACACAGUAGGCUAUGUACUAUAUAAAACACAUAUACAGUAAAUGGGGUUUACACAGUAGGCUAUGCACUAUAUAAAAACACAUAUACAGUAAAUGGGGGUUUACACAGUAGGCUAUGUACUGUAUAAAAACACAUAUACAGUAAAUGGGGGUUUACACAGUAGGCUAUGUACUGUAUAAAAACACAUAAACAGUCCCCUUUGUAUGUAUUUUGACAGUUCUAUUUGGCUAUAUACUAUACCAGUAUUUUGGAUUUGAGAUUAAAUCACAUUCAGUGACAGUACAGAAUGUCACCUUUUAUUUGAGUAUAUGUUUCAUAUAUCUUGUCCCCCCAUUUGAAGAUGUCAUAAGUAUUUGGACAUAUUUCACCUCAAAUGAAACAUUUCAUCUCAAAUCCAAAAUGCUGGAGUAUAGAGCCAAAUUAAAAAUGUUAGAACUA
Oncorhynchus keta (chum salmon) is the source of this 3845-nucleotide long non-coding RNA. RefSeq lists it as uncharacterized. The record is from RefSeq and is a predicted model, not a curated record. The transcript is spliced from 3 exons. Lineage: Eukaryota; Metazoa; Chordata; Actinopteri; Salmoniformes; Salmonidae.